GGUUGGCUCAGUGGUAGAGUGCUUGCCUUGCAUGCAUGAGGCCCUAGGUUCGAUUCCUCAGCACCA
Molecule: non-coding RNA, 66 nt
Organism: Dipodomys ordii (Ord's kangaroo rat)
Lineage: Eukaryota; Metazoa; Chordata; Mammalia; Rodentia; Heteromyidae
Source: Rfam